GCUAAAGGAAUGGGACUGUUGUCGUCUCCUGGUCCUUUCCACGACACUGAAUUCGAGAACUGGACUAGGUUCAAUGAAUCUGGUCAGCUCAUGGCCCCGCCGCCGCCCUAUAAAUUAAGCCCGCAUAUUACUCUGCUCUGGCAGGCUGCUGGGGCCGUUGGACUUUGCAUCUCCCCGUCGCUCUUCUUCGCACUCCAUCUUCCUCUCGUGGCAGAGAAAAGGUUUGAAUAGUUCCGAGUGAUAAGUCCCGCUUUGUUGAUCAUGGGUUAACUGGUCGCCAGCCCGCCCCUUCUCGUCGUUCAAGGGACUCGAAGAAAGUAAGUUUCAGCUGUGUUGAAGCGGUAGGACGCAUUUGCAUGGAGUACUAGUUCGGAGAUGCUACGAUGAUGAAUGGAGUCGUAAAGUUGUUGCUAAUCGGUUCUGAAUGUGCGUGCAUUGGCCUGAUUCAAAUAUGAAAACCACGAGAGAUGGACAGAAGCUGAAGACGAAAACCAAGGAAAUGUUCAGGAUGAUGUUCAGGAAAUGUGUCUGAUUUGUGACAAGUUCUUCGUAUUCUGAAGCAUUAUCUGCACUGGAUUCAGGUCUCUGAACAACAAUUUGUUUGUGGACGCUAUUAUUUCAGCAGUUCCAUCUGCUCUCUCGCACUUGAAUGGAACCUCAGAAAACUCGAUCGUUAAAACGGCACGGCAUUGCUUGGAGUUGUAGGAGUUCGUCCUCGACCAUGACAAGAAAUAAAGGAUUCGUGCAAUGGCACUCGGCAGAAAUUCUUUCACCGUGCAACGUUUUCAUACGCCGGGUCGCACAUCCACCAUAAAAUAGAGCAUCAAAAAGGAGCUGCCAAGCUGCUUGGAAUGACAGAUUGGGAUACACCCCGUUUGUUCAUCCGUGGCGCUGCUUCUCUCGACGACAUGCCUGUGGUACAAGUCGUCCUCAUCUUCCAUGUGAAGAGUUCCCCUUCGUGACUUCAAAUGUGUUCCGACAGUUAUUCAUUCUGUAGUACUUUAUUGAGACUAUGGUGAGUUCGAUGCGAGUAGCGCAAGCUGGCGACAACAUGUUUGCCUACUCAGGUCUUCUCAGCGCGAGAUCGUGCUUUUUUUUCCCUUGUGUGUCGUCAGUUGUCAUAAGUAUUUACCACUUCUCAUGCACAAUAACAGGAAAUACAUACUGAAUUGGUUGGGUUCUCUC
Long non-coding RNA from Eucalyptus grandis, 1185 nucleotides. RefSeq lists it as uncharacterized. The transcript has 2 exons. NCBI's taxonomy places the organism in Eukaryota, Viridiplantae, Streptophyta, Magnoliopsida, Myrtales, Myrtaceae. The record is from RefSeq and is a predicted model, not a curated record.